Long non-coding RNA from Solenopsis invicta (red fire ant), 6878 nucleotides. RefSeq lists it as uncharacterized. The transcript is spliced from 2 exons. The record is from RefSeq and is a predicted model, not a curated record. NCBI's taxonomy places the organism in Eukaryota, Metazoa, Arthropoda, Insecta, Hymenoptera, Formicidae.
CCUGAAAAUAUAAAUAAUAAUACCGUCAAUUAGCCGAAACUUGUUCUCGCAUCUGCAAUUAUUAUGCUUUUAUGCGUUGCGGAUGCCUCGUGCAUAUCCUCAAUGCGGACUAUAUCAGUUUUAUGAUUGGUAAUGUAAAAUGUAUCGUAUCUAAAGUCAUGAAAAUUUUCCAAGUUUUUAUUUUAGAGAGCGCUAUAAAAUGUUCGAUUGUAACAAUGUAUAUGUACAAUGGUAACAUAUUAUAAUAUAUACGACAACAUAUGUGUAGUGUAUACAUGAUGUAUGUACGCAUAUAUAAAAUCUUAUCAGUUUAACCGGAACAUAUAUAAUACGAGUGGUUUUAAAAUUUUAUGGGAAAUUAAUUCAGCACAAAAGACAUUUUUAUAAACAUAGGUCGAAAAAUCAAAAGACGCUUUUUCUUAUAAAGUUAACGCUCAAAAUCCUCUAAAUCACGAUUAUUUUAUACAUUUUUACAAAUAUCAGGAAAAUAUUUUUUAACAAAAAGUACUGAAACAAAAGUUGUAGAGAAUUUAAUUAUCUUUCAAAUGAUAUCAAAAUAAUUAUAAUGCGUUUUCCAACGUUUUUGAAAUAACCAAUGGUUUUGAAAUACAAAAGUGUUUUUUUUUUCUACUGUAGACUUUUUGAAAAAUACUUUUUAUUUAUGCUUAGCUAAUUUUUAAUGUUUAUCUUGUUUGUUUGUUAUUCCAUUAAAAUAAAUUUACUUUUGUGCAUUGUUUACCAAUCAUAAGAGGAAAUCAAAAGUCUGCUCAGAAUAAGGAAAAAAAAAAGAAAUAAAAUCAAAGUUUCGUAAAUAUUUGAUCCAUACACACACACACACACACGCACAACAAAUAAACACGGCUUUUGAUUGACUAAAUUAAUCAAAAGGAAAUCCAUAAAGAGAUUAAAUCAAGAGGCGCGGUCGCGAAUCACGCCGAGUGACACGCAAAGCGAAGAUUCGUUACUAUCCGAUGCCGAAAGCGUAUUAAAGCUGGAAAAAGACAUUUUACAGAACAUUUAGUUUCUUCAUAUUUUUAUUGAUUUUCUAUUAUUAUAGUAGUGCUACUUUAGAUUAAAAAGAAUCAUCUUAUUUUUUAAAAGAUAUAUAAAAUCACACAACAAAUAUAUAUAUCAGCAUUUAGAUACAGUUAUGACCUAUAAAGCUUUUUGUUUAUUAUUGUAUUUUAUUUUUAUUCCACGAGAUUUUCGGUCAAAGUUUUGAGUAAGGACCUCCAACUCUUCCGAAUAUAGCCGUCAAUAUAACUGCUUCAAAGUUUAAUAUUCGUUUUUCUCGAAACUUUAUCUUCAUAAUUGAUCAGACAUUUUUAAUCAGCUUUACGAGAUUGGACCGAAAAUUUAGAUUCAGAGAUUUCAAGAAGAGUUGAGAGAAGGUGAGAUUGAUCGUGACGACGUCAUUUUCACGUUUAUAAAAAUCUCAUAGAAAAAAACACAUUUCGUUAAAAGCGUGAUAAGCUAUGAUAUAAUAAGCUACUACGUUACCAAUAAGUGUAAUGCAUGUAACGUACUUUUAAAAUAUAAUUGUUAACAUACUCGAGUUGUUUCAGAGAACUGCUGCAACUUGUAAAAUAAAAAAAUUCUCAGACGCCAAGGGGAGUGUUAAUGUAGAAAUGCUUUUCCAACGCGUGUUAGCACGAGAGAAUCUUACGUGUAUUAACUUCUCGCGAACGUCCAAGGAGAGCGUGUUUUAAAAGUUUCACAAACAAUAAUAAUUCCGCUCGCUCGGGGCUCGUGAGCUUGCGAGUUAAAAAGUACUAAGUGAUGCCGUUCGCCAGAAGUUUCCCACACGAAUCAAUGGAUACCACGAAGAGUCGCGCACGAGGCAUAACAUAUGGACUCGCGCUAUCGUCACUGAUAAGUCCUCCCAUUGAAAGCGAUUCUGCCGUCUGAUAUUAUGAUUCACUCGAAGAUCGUUUAAACUUUAUUCGACAAGGAUUACUUUAUCAAUGCGUGCAUGUAUCAGAAGUAAUUAUUACUGUAUAAAAAUCACACGUGAAAUCAAUGUACACGUUAUAAUUUACUUACAUGCUGCUUACAUGCUGUUUGCAUCAGAUAACGAUAUACCUUUUAAUUUAUAACAACAAUCACAUUUCGUAGAUAUAAUUUUAAUGAAUUACUGACUUGUCGAUAAACGAUGACUAAUCGCAAUACAAGAAAUCUAAAAAAGAAUUAAAGUUCAAGAAUCACCGCGUGAACACUCUCACUAGUCCUUUGAUUAUUUAUCUUUAAAAAAAAAUUUAUUUGGUGGGAAAAGAUAAAACAAUAAAACAUUUUGCUAAAUCGUGUCAGAAAACUCAAAUAUUUAUGAAAGCUAUAGCAUCUGCACUUAACGUCUAUGUAUAGAAAUACUUUAGCGAUAACGUUGCUUGAUAGCGAUUGUAUAAAACUUUUAUAUUCAAAUUAUCAUAUGACACAUCCGGUAGGUAUGCAGAAAAAUAUUAAAUCUACAGUUAUAAUAAUAAAAUUAAAAAUUUAUAUAAAAUUUAUAUAAAAAUUCAUAUAAAUUAUUCUAUUUAUAUUUAUUUCUAAAAUUAUAACAGAGUAAUUGGGGAAUGAAUCCCAUUUUGCUCCACAAAAUUAUAAAAGUACAAAUUGAUAAAAGUACACCUUGAAUUACGUGGCAUGGAAGGCUUGCGUAAGUUAAAUUGUUUACAAAAUCGAAUUAAAUUGCAAAAUUAAUUUACUCAGAAACAACAGGCGAACUCUUGCAGCAAUAUUCGUAGAAACUGCAAAACUCUACGGGAAAAUCGAAAAAAGUUCCUUUUAACCAGCCAGCGCAACACAACAAAGAUGCAUUCGUAGACUUACGAUGAGAGAACUAAUUCCGAGCGCAAACAGGCGACAACUUUACACAGCUUGUCUCUUAACUUUUACAAUCUGCUGAACAUAUAUAUAUAUAUAUAUAUAUAUAUGUGUGUGUGUGUACGUAUAUGGCAAUAAUAUGUUACUUCAUUUAAAUGGAAUAUUACAUUACAAGCGCGAUAUUACUCAUAAUUCGAAAGCAUUUCAUCCAGAAUUUAAGAAAUAUAGCGUACAGAGUUUAUCGUUAUACACCCAAUCGCAUCACGCUGUUUCGUUACACUAAGAAGUUUUGCGUUGCAACAAUGUCAUUAAGUCACGCGAAGUACUGUGCAUAUCUAUUUUUGUAUUACCUCGUUUAUCAUUUCUUUAUUUUUCUUAUUUCUUAAGUGCCGUUGUGACGCACAAACUAUAUAAUCUUAUUUCUACAAAAGUCAAUAGAAACGGGAAUAUAAAUGGCACGUUAUUACUGUGAGUUUUGAGUUUUUUUCCUUUAAUAACGGUUUGAUGACAAACAUGCAGCACGCGUUAAGACGUUACGUGCACCGUAUAGCAACUAUAAUUUCGAGGCAGCUUGCGUUAUAUAUUUUACAGUACGUACGUCAAGGACGCGAUAAGUUCACGAACGAAUACCAACGGUCGAUUAGCACUAAUGAAUUCAUUAUUUCGCAUCGCUGUAAGUAGAAGACAGGUGUCUAUUAUAAUGAUGGCAUGUCAUCAAGACUAAAAAGCCGUUUCGAUCGAUUUGUUGUUUGACUUUAAUCCAAGGUCGGUCCGAAUACGGUACGUCGAUUUGAACUCGGUAUAUCAAUCCGAGACCUCGUUAAACAUCAUUCGUAGAUGAAUGCUUCAAUUUCUAAUGGCGAAACGAGGCUCUACUGCCCACAUCUGUAUACGUCCACGUCUAAAUGUAUUACGUGCCUUAAUAGGUUCCACCGGUGUCUCUUACGUAGGCAUAAUUCUAUAUAGAUUCUAUUAGAGAAGAAUUAAGCCCCAGCCAAUAGAGUGAAAACACUUUAAAGUAUCUAUUUCUAACUUUCUCCGUCUUCUCACGUGUGUGGGAUUUUAAAUCGAAUAUCAAGAGCGCACGUAGAAUGCUAAUGCCUGAAGAGUGUCGGCUGGAUAAUAUCGGUCAAUAUAUCGCUCGCUGUGUUGCGCUGUGUACGUAUGUUAUGUUUCCUAAGCAAAUCCUCGGCGAUCUGCGCCAGCGGAUAUAUAAGCAAGGAACCUCGUGUUUAAUCGAGAUAAUCCACUUCGUGUUGCUGUAAUAUAGGAUGGGCAAACGUGCGAUAUCAAAGGUAGAACAUCUCGCUUGGAAAGCAGGGCUACUCGCGUUUUUAUAAUUAUCUCUCUGUUACGAAACUCGAAUGGAUCGCUUGCUAAUCUCGAUUCGAGUUGUACGGGAGACAAAUAUUUGAGCCGCUUCUCGUGCAACGAAAAAAUAAAAUAAACAAUGAUAAGCUUCUAUUAUUUUCCAUUUUCAUUGUCCAUUCGUUUCUAUCUGAGAAUUGACGCUCGAUGUAGGAUAACAAAAAGAUAAGAUAAUUCACAAUCAUUGAAUUUGUCUUAUCAUUCAACAUAUGGACCAGUUAAUCUAAUCCCCCCUUUUUUUUGUAACGUAUAACAAAUACUUCUCGUUAUUGCAGAAGUGAUCUAUAGAAAUAUUGCGAUUAUAACUAAUUGUGGUUAGAGCAAUGUGGUCAUUGUGGCUUGGAGAGGAAGGAACGAGAGAAAGAUAGCUUCGUUUUCCUCUCUUGACCUCGUUUACAAAUAUCAGUGAGUGAUUCCGGGCGACUUCUAGGGCGAUUAAGCCGCGCGGUUUGCAUACGCGGUCAGUUUAUGCUCUAAUAUUCGCAGAGCAAGAUGGUAAUAAUUCUACUUUCGUGCAGCCCGAUCGUUCCGAUCUGGCGGCGAGGAACGAUCGGAAAAACAUGUGAGUGCGAUUCUGUUGUCAUUAUAGCGUUACAAUUAAGUACAUGGCUAUAAUUAGAAUUCGUAUUGGUUAACAUGGGCGUGAAGCCUAAUCAGAAACUGAUUGAACGCGCAGUGUUAUAUCCCGGAUCAAGAGGCUUUUACGAUGCAUCAAAGAAGGGAUUUGUGAACGGAAAGAAACUUGGACAAAUAUACGUUAUAUCGCCUUUAAUAGUAGGAAAUGUGUAGGUGUAUGAAUUCGUUCCAACUUUACAAAAUAAUUUUAAAAGUAUUUCUAAAGAAUCAAUGUUGCGCGUUUCCUUGCGGUUGGAAGCCGCGAACGUUAAAUCUUAGUUUUAGUUCUAUGUUUCUAUGUAAAUACGUCCUUGGCCGAGCCAUAAAUAAGGAAGGACUCGACGAAACGUAUACGACAUAUGAGAACGAGACAUAUGAACUAUUGACAAAACAUUCAUAAAAUCUGCAAUUUAAAAUGAUUGCCAAGGGAGUAAAGUUCUUAAAAUGAUCUCGAUAAUGAUUUCGUUUCUUAAGACAAUUGCCAAAAGAGUAAACAUCUCAAAGUGAGCUCAGUAACGAUUCCUUUUCUCAAGACAAUAUUUUGUUUACCGCAACACAAUUAAUAAUCAGAAUUCAAGUUAUAUAGUCCUUAAAUUUAAUUACAUCUGAUUAACGCUGACAACUUGUGGAUACAACACACUGUUUGAAGAUGUAACAAGUAUUAAUUAAGCAGGUUUAUUAUUCAUACACAGUACACCCCAACGAUUUAUCCUUCCGGCCAACCAUUGAGACCACGAGCGCAAUAUUUCAUUUCGUGUUUCGCACAAAAGGGCUUUUAGUAUCUCCACGAUAAGGCGUGGUAGCGUUGAUCCCUUCAAAGGCCGGCCGGUAGUGUACGAGCGCGCGGAAAAUCGAACUGGAAUUUUCGUUGCGACCCCCUCUCCCCCUUGAAAAAUUAAAUUUUCGAGCGGAAAGUUUGGAACAAAAAUUCCUCGACUGCCCCCAUGAUUUAUUCAUACCGCUCCAAAGUUCUAAUGCCGCGCAUAAACUCGCACGAAGCGCAUUCUCCAUCUCAUGUACACGAAAGAGGAAAUCGAAUACACGUGUCGACUUACUUUGUACGCGAUCUAGAAACGCUUCGAGAAUAUUGAAAUUCCUCGUGUAGAAUUAAAAACCUUUCUUUUUUUUUAUUUUGCUGGGUUUUUCUUCUUUACUCGAAAUGUUGCGUAACGCAGCAAUGAAUUUUAUCAGAACGAAUAGUUAACUCUGUCUUUUUCAUCAUUAUAAAAUUUUAUUUUUCACACCAUUGAAAAUUUAUUAAGAUAAUUUUUUUCAUCUAAAGAAUGUGUUACACAUAGAUUAUUGAAAAACCUUACAGUUAUUAUUUGUUAAAUACGUCCUGAGAGAAAAAAAUUUUAUCAUCGCGCGAUUACUGAGAAAAAAAAUAAGCCUUAUCAAAUAAAAGUACAUAGUUUGCAAAAAAAAUAAUAGGACGAGGCAUCUUGAAAUGUAAUAUCUGAAAUUGAUAACUGACGAAAGGAUAUACAGGAAAUUAUAUACAGGGUGUUUCAGAAAUAGUUGGUCAAACUUUAACAGCAUGUUCCACUCAUUGUAAGGAUAAAAAAAAGUCAUAUAAACAUGGGUUUGAAAAUGUUUUCUUUCCAAGUUAUAAACAUUUUUUGAUUUUACAGAAAUUGCUGGAAAUAAUUUCCUUUCGCAUCAAUGCAUUUCCUUCGCAUUGACGUCGCAUGGAUUGUCGAAAACGUUCAAAAAUUCUCGGAGUAUUUCGUAUUUUUUCACACAGCAAUAAUACAAUUUCAAAGUACUUCUACAGUAGCAACAAAAGUAUCAUACAUGAGAGUCUUAAGAUGCCCCCAUAAGUAAAAAUUCAAAGGGUUUAAAUCGGGAAAACGUGCAAGCCAAGCAAUGAGUCCUCCUUUACCAAUUCAUGUAUUGAUGUAAUUAUUAUUUAGGAACUCUCGAGCAAUGCGGUUGAAAUGUGCUUGAGCUCCAUCAUGCAUAAACCAAAUUUGAUUGCGUAUCUGUAGUGGAAUGUCUUCUAAUAAUAUAGGGAGUUGCGUUUCCAAAAAUUGUCUGUAAUUGUUAUUAUUAAGUGUAGAUAAAAAAAAUCGGUC